GGCAACAUGGCCGAGUGGUCUAAGGCGCUGGAAUUAGGCCUUCAAUGCAUAUCCAGUCUUAACGGGCGAGGGUUCGAAUCCCUCUGUUGUCA
Molecule: transfer RNA, 92 nt
Filed under: Laccaria bicolor S238N-H82
Lineage: Eukaryota; Fungi; Basidiomycota; Agaricomycetes; Agaricales; Hydnangiaceae
Rfam family: tRNA
About the family: Transfer RNA (tRNA) molecules are approximately 80 nucleotides in length. Their secondary structure includes four short double-helical elements and three loops (D, anti-codon, and T loops). Further hydrogen bonds mediate the characteristic L-shaped molecular structure. tRNAs have two regions of fundamental functional importance: the anti-codon, which is responsible for specific mRNA codon recognition, and the 3' end, to which the tRNAs corresponding amino acid is attached (by aminoacyl-tRNA synthetases). tRNAs cope with the degeneracy of the genetic code in two manners: having more than one tRNA (with a specific anti-codon) for a particular amino acid; and 'wobble' base-pairing, i.e. permitting non-standard base-pairing at the 3rd anti-codon position.
Source: Rfam by way of RNAcentral